This 521-nucleotide ribosomal RNA is filed under the name Candidatus Omnitrophota bacterium. Its description in RNAcentral is "partial 23S ribosomal RNA". It matches the Rfam family "Bacterial large subunit ribosomal RNA", at positions 2395 to 2925 of the family's 2925-position model. The record is from RNAcentral. Lineage: Bacteria; Pseudomonadati; Candidatus Omnitrophota.
AGGGGAGAAAUCCGGGCUUAGUGAUCCGGCGGUAGCAUGUGGAAGUGCCGUCGCUCAACGGAUAAAAGGUACUCCGGGGAUAACAGGCUUAUCGGUCCCGAGAGUUCAUAUCGACGGACCGGUUUGGCACCUCGAUGUCGGCUCAUCGCAUCCUGGGGCUGGAGAAGGUCCCAAGGGUCCGGCUGUUCGCCGGUUAAAGCGGUACGCGAGCUGGGUUUAGAACGUCGUGAGACAGUUCGGUCUCUAUCUCCUGUGGGCGUAGGAUACUUGAGGGGGGUCCUUCCUAGUACGAGAGGACCGGAAGGAACGAACCUCUGGUGUACCAGUUGUUCCGUCCGGAGCAGAAGCUGGGUAGCCAUGUUCGGUCGGGAUAAACGCUGAAAGCAUCUAAGCGUGAAGCCCACCCCAAGAAUAGGUAUCCCUGAAGGCAUCCCGUAGACUACGGGUUUGAUAGGUCCUGAGUGUAAGCGCGGUAACGCGUUGAGCUUAAGGAUACUAAGGAAGCCGUUUGGCUUGACCAC